Non-coding RNA from Protopterus annectens (West African lungfish), 71 nucleotides. Lineage: Eukaryota; Metazoa; Chordata; Ceratodontiformes; Protopteridae. The record is from the annotation of a RefSeq genome assembly.
GCCUAGGUAGCUCAGUCCAGAGCAUCAGACUCUUAAUCUGAGGGUCCAGGGUUCGAGCCCCUGCUUGGGCG